UACAGAGGUGGCAAGCGUUGUUCGGAAUUACUGGGCGUAAAGCGUGCGUAGGCGGUUUGUUAAGACAGGUGUGAAAUCCCCGGGCUUAACCUGGGAACUGCGCUUGUUACUGGCAGACUUGAGUGUGGCAGAGGGGGGUGGAAUUCCAGGUGUAGCAGUGAAAUGCGUAGAUAUCUGGAGGAACACCGAUGGCGAAGGCAGCCCCCUGGGCUAACACUGACGCUGAUGCACGAAAGCGUGGGGAGCAAACAGG
This 253-nucleotide ribosomal RNA is filed under the name uncultured bacterium. RNAcentral describes it as "partial 16S ribosomal RNA". It matches the Rfam family "Bacterial small subunit ribosomal RNA", at positions 524 to 776 of the family's 1533-position model. The record is from RNAcentral.